UCCGGUCAAGGGCAUGUACUCAGCACUGCUUUGGGUGCGUGCAGGAGACGACUCGAUGUGUUUCUCUCACAUUGAUAUUUCUCUCUGUCUUUCCCCCUCUCCUCCACUCUCUCUAAAAAUUAAUGG
Molecule: long non-coding RNA, 126 nt
Organism: Myotis brandtii (Brandt's bat)
Lineage: Eukaryota; Metazoa; Chordata; Mammalia; Chiroptera; Vespertilionidae
Exons: 3
Source: RefSeq, a predicted model, not a curated record